RNAcentral lists this ribosomal RNA (497 nucleotides) under uncultured bacterium. RNAcentral describes it as "partial 16S ribosomal RNA". It matches the Rfam family "Bacterial small subunit ribosomal RNA", at positions 28 to 507 of the family's 1533-position model. The record is from RNAcentral.
GACGAACGCUGGCGGCGUGCCUAAUACAUGCGAGUUGAGCGCUGAAGGUUGGUACUUGUACCAACUGGAUGAGCAGCGAACGGGUGAGUAACGCGUGGGGAAUCUGCCUUUGAGCGGGGGACAACAUUUGGAAACGAAUGCUAAUACCGCAUAAAAACUUUAAACACAAGUUUUAAGUUUGAAAGAUGCAAUUGCAUCACUCAAAGAUGAUCCCGCGUUGUAUUAGCUAGUUGGUGAGGUAAAGGCUCACCAAGGCGAUGAUACAUAGCCGACCUGAGAGGGUGAUCGGCCACAUUGGGACUGAGACAGGGCCCAAACGGCUACGGGAGGCAGCAGUAGGGAAUCUUCGGCAAUGGACGAAAGUCUGACCGAGCAACGCCGCGUGAGUGAAGAAGGUUUUCGGAUCGUAAAACUCUGUUGGUAGAGAAGAACGUGGGUGAGAGUGGAAAGCUCAUCAAGUGACGGUAACUACCCAGAAAGGGACGGCUAACUACGUG